AUCAAGCACAAGGAUAAAGUCAGGGUGACCAGGAGAGUGCCAGACCAAUGCAUAAUUUAUUUCCUGCUCCCAGACUUCUGCACCUGUCUGCACUGGGGGCCUCCUGUGGUACCUUGACCUGCCAGCCCUUCCUGAAGAUGCUGCGUCGUAACGUUUAGCCUGGAAUAGGGGACAGAGGGCUGGCUUGGGGCGGCGGCAGUGGGAUGCAGGAAGCAAACGGUAUUUUAAACCUAAGCUGCUUAGGGGCAUAACUCUUCCUCAUUUGGAAAGUCUUUUUUUUUUUUCUUUUUAAACUUGGGUCCUCGAAUGGUAGAAUUGCUCACUCUUCCCUGGGAGGAAAGUCAGGCCCAGAUGGUGUUAUCCAUUUCCCAUCCAGUCUGGCAAGAUCACAGGAAGGGCCAGCUGGUGGCUUCCUUGUUAUUGUUAAUUUUUUUUUUUUGAGAAGGAAUCUCACUCUGUCGCCAGGCUGCAGUGCAGUGGCACGAUCUUAGCUCAUUGCAACCUCUGCCUCCUGGGUUCAAGCAAUUCUCUUGCCUCAGCCUCCCAAGUAGCUGAAGUUACAGACACGCACCAGUGUGCCUGGCUAAUUUUUGUAUUUUUAGUAGAGAAGAGAUUUCACCAUGUUGGCCAGGCUGGUCUUGAACUCCUGACCUCAGGGGAUCCACCCGCCUCGGCCUCCCAAAGUGUUGGGAUUACAGGCAUGAGCCACUGAGCCCGGCCUAAUUUUUUUUACCUUCUACUGAUUAAAGUUUUGAAAUUUCGAGAGGCCAGAUGGGAACCAAAUAAUAUGGCCCUUUUGGUUUUCUUUUAAUGAGACCAGGUUUGGGAGAGACCUUGGAGAGACCUGAGAUGGUGAAGCUGUCUGCUGGGUACCCUGGGACCUAUUGCCCAGAGGGCUUGGCAAGCCGUGAGUUCUUUCAUCCUCCUUCCUACAGGGAGUAUUGCCUCUGUUUUUCCAGAAGAUUCUUGUAAUGGUUUCUGUAGGACCGUGCACUUCACAGGCUUCAGUUAAAAUUGGACUCAGCUUGUGGGUGGAGAGACUAAAGCCUUGUGAAGACGUUUGAUCCUGCAAGUCCUCAAAGCCUCCUGCUCCCCCGGGGCGGCCGGGCACAUGAAUAUGGAGAGUGGCAUUGAAGAUGUGCUGUCUCCUUCCCAGAUCCUGCUGCCUGGGGACCAGCAGUGAGGCCCUCUUCCUGCAGAAGGGCACUCUCAGUCUUGCUGGGCUAGAGGAGGAAGCCACGGGGGUGGUGGCUGCAAAGGGCUGGGCACAGAGAGAGACCUGGCAAGGUGACCGGGGGAGGUGACUGGGCUCAGGCUGGCACCUGUCCCACCUCACUGUCAGCCAAGCAGAUGGAGAGGUGGGUGCUCUGCCCGUUGCAGCCACCUGCCCUGCGGCCUCUGCUGUGCCCGUUUCUGCUCUGGGUCCGCCAGCAGGAGCUCAGCCCUCAUCCUCAUGUUCAUCUAGUGAGGCGGGGGGAGGCGGUCAUCCCAGGCAGGUGUGGGUGCAGAAGAGGCAGCCGCAGGUGUGGGGCCAUUGCAGCGAGGGGCCCUGCCCUGUUCCUCCAGGAACUCCCACGGGCUCUUAGAGUCUCUCCAGGUUGUCGCCAUUUCACUUCCGCCUGCAGUUGGGCAUGGGCUGUGUACGGAACACACAUUAGACCCUGGGGAACAAAAAGGAAACAAAAACAGGAAAUGUGUCUGCUCUCAAGGA
Molecule: long non-coding RNA, 1711 nt
Filed under: Homo sapiens (human)
Lineage: Eukaryota; Metazoa; Chordata; Mammalia; Primates; Hominidae
Description: HSALNT0128973
Source: RNAcentral